AGUGAACGCUGGCGGUAGGCCUAACACAUGCAAGUCGAACGGCAGCACAGGAGAGCUUGCUCUCUGGGUGGCGAGUGGCGGACGGGUGAGGAAUACAUCGGAAUCUACUCUGUCGUGGGGGAUAACGUAGGGAAACUUACGCUAAUACCGCAUACGACCUACGGGUGAAAGUGGGGGACCGCAAAGGCCUCACGCGAUUGAAUGAGCCGAUGUCGGAUUAGCUAGUUGGCGGGGUAAAGGCCCACCAAGGCGACGAUCCGUAGCUGGUCUGAGAGGAUGAUCAGCCACACUGGAACUGAGACACGGUCCAGACUCCUACGGGAGGCAGCAGUGGGGAAUAUUGGACAAUGGGCGCAAGCCUGAUCCAGCCAUACCGCGUGAGUGAAGAAGGCCCUCGGGUUGUAAAGCUCUUUUGUUGGGUAAAGAAAUCCUGUUGGCUAAUACCCGGCGGGAUGACGGUACCCAAAGAAUAAGCACCCGGCUAAACUUCGUGCCAGCAGCCGCGGUAA
Molecule: ribosomal RNA, 509 nt
Filed under: uncultured bacterium
Lineage: Bacteria
Description: bacterial SSU rRNA
Rfam family: Bacterial small subunit ribosomal RNA
Source: RNAcentral